RNAcentral lists this ribosomal RNA (433 nucleotides) under uncultured bacterium. RNAcentral describes it as "partial 16S ribosomal RNA". It matches the Rfam family "Bacterial small subunit ribosomal RNA", at positions 29 to 507 of the family's 1533-position model. The record is from RNAcentral.
AACGAACGCUGGCGGCAUGCCUAACACAUGCAAGUCGAACGAGCCCUUCGGGUAUUGUGGCGCCUGGGUGUGACACGUGUGGGAAGAUGCACUUAGGUUCGGAAUAACUCCAAGACUGGGGUGAUUACCGCGGACAAUGUCUUAGGACAAAGGAUGUCUUGCAUUUGGUUGGUCCCGCGUUGGAUUAGCUCUUUGGGAGGGUAAAAGCAUACCAAGGAGACGAUUCAUAGCUGGUCAGAGAGGAUGAGCAGCCACACUGGGACUGGGACACGGCCCAGACUCCUACGGGAGGCAGCAGUGGGGAAUAUUGGACAGUGGGCGAAAGCCUGAUCCAGCAAUGCCGCGUAAGUGAUGAAGGCCUUAGAGAUGUAAAGCUCUUUUACCCGGGAAGAUAAUGACAGUACCGGAAGAAUAAGCUCCGGCUAACUCCGUG